This 366-nucleotide ribosomal RNA is filed under the name uncultured bacterium. RNAcentral's name for it is "bacterial SSU rRNA". It matches the Rfam family "Bacterial small subunit ribosomal RNA", at positions 59 to 449 of the family's 1533-position model. The record is from RNAcentral.
AAGUCGGACGGACACCUUCGGGUGUCAGUGGCGGACGGGUGAGUAACGCGUAGGAAUCUACCUCUGGGAGGGGGAUAACAGCUGGAAACGGCUGCUAAUACCCCAUACAGGCGCGAGCUGAAAGGAGCAAUCCGCCUAGGGAUGAGCCUGCGUCGGAUUAGCUAGUUGGUGGGGUAAUGGCCUACCAAGGCGACGAUCCGUAGCGGGUCUGAGAGGAUGGCCCGCCACACUGGGACUGAGACACGGCCCAGACUCCUACGGGAGGCAGCAGUGGGGAAUUUUCCGCAAUGGGCGAAAGCCUGACGGAGCAAUACCGCGUGAGGGAGGAGGGCCUUCGGGUUGUAAACCUCUUUUCUGGGGGACGAA